RNAcentral lists this ribosomal RNA (96 nucleotides) under Klebsiella pneumoniae. RNAcentral also lists the same sequence under 1 other name. The record is from RNAcentral. Lineage: Bacteria; Pseudomonadati; Pseudomonadota; Gammaproteobacteria; Enterobacterales; Enterobacteriaceae.
GUCCCACCUGACCCCAUGCCGAACUCAGAAGUGAAACGCCGUAGCGCCGAUGGUAGUGUGGGGUCUCCCCAUGUGAGAGUAGGGAACUGCCAGGCA